This 1495-nucleotide ribosomal RNA is filed under the name Lactiplantibacillus pentosus. RNAcentral describes it as "bacterial SSU rRNA". It matches the Rfam family "Bacterial small subunit ribosomal RNA". The record is from RNAcentral. Lineage: Bacteria; Bacillati; Bacillota; Bacilli; Lactobacillales; Lactobacillaceae.
UGGGGGUGCUAUACAUGCAAGUCGAACGAACUCUGGUAUUGAUUGGUGCUUGCAUCAUGAUUUACAUUUGAGUGAGUGGCGAACUGGUGAGUAACACGUGGGAAACCUGCCCAGAAGCGGGGGAUAACACCUGGAAACAGAUGCUAAUACCGCAUAACAACUUGGACCGCAUGGUCCGAGUUUGAAAGAUGGCUUCGGCUAUCACUUUUGGAUGGUCCCGCGGCGUAUUAGCUAGAUGGUGGGGUAACGGCUCACCAUGGCAAUGAUACGUAGCCGACCUGAGAGGGUAAUCGGCCACAUUGGGACUGAGACACGGCCCAAACUCCUACGGGAGGCAGCAGUAGGGAAUCUUCCACAAUGGACGAAAGUCUGAUGGAGCAACGCCGCGUGAGUGAAGAAGGGUUUCGGCUCGUAAAACUCUGUUGUUAAAGAAGAACAUAUCUGAGAGUAACUGUUCAGGUAUUGACGGUAUUUAACCAGAAAGCCACGGCUAACUACGUGCCAGCAGCCGCGGUAAUACGUAGGUGGCAAGCGUUGUCCGGAUUUAUUGGGCGUAAAGCGAGCGCAGGCGGUUUUUUAAGUCUGAUGUGAAAGCCUUCGGCUCAACCGAAGAAGUGCAUCGGAAACUGGGAAACUUGAGUGCAGAAGAGGACAGUGGAACUCCAUGUGUAGCGGUGAAAUGCGUAGAUAUAUGGAAGAACACCAGUGGCGAAGGCGGCUGUCUGGUCUGUAACUGACGCUGAGGCUCGAAAGUAUGGGUAGCAAACAGGAUUAGAUACCCUGGUAGUCCAUACCGUAAACGAUGAAUGCUAAGUGUUGGAGGGUUUCCGCCCUUCAGUGCUGCAGCUAACGCAUUAAGCAUUCCGCCUGGGGAGUACGGCCGCAAGGCUGAAACUCAAAGGAAUUGACGGGGGCCCGCACAAGCGGUGGAGCAUGUGGUUUAAUUCGAAGCUACGCGAAGAACCUUACCAGGUCUUGACAUACUAUGCAAAUCUAAGAGAUUAGACGUUCCCUUCGGGGACAUGGAUACAGGUGGUGCAUGGUUGUCGUCAGCUCGUGUCGUGAGAUGUUGGGUUAAGUCCCGCAACGAGCGCAACCCUUAUUAUCAGUUGCCAGCAUUAAGUUGGGCACUCUGGUGAGACUGCCGGUGACAAACCGGAGGAAGGUGGGGAUGACGUCAAAUCAUCAUGCCCCUUAUGACCUGGGCUACACACGUGCUACAAUGGAUGGUACAACGAGUUGCGAACUCGCGAGAGUAAGCUAAUCUCUUAAAGCCAUUCUCAGUUCGGAUUGUAGGCUGCAACUCGCCUACAUGAAGUCGGAAUCGCUAGUAAUCGCGGAUCAGCAUGCCGCGGUGAAUACGUUCCCGGGCCUUGUACACACCGCCCGUCACACCAUGAGAGUUUGUAACACCCAAAGUCGGUGGGGUAACCUUUUAGGAACCAGCCGCCUAAGGUGGGACAGAUGAUUAGGGGGAAGUCGUAACAAGAGCAGC